This 349-nucleotide long non-coding RNA is filed under the name Mytilus galloprovincialis (Mediterranean mussel). Lineage: Eukaryota; Metazoa; Mollusca; Bivalvia; Mytilida; Mytilidae. The record is from RNAcentral.
UCUUCUACUGUAUGUACCAUUUUACAAGUUCCUUUUUUAUUUCGAAUUGAAAGUAAACCUAUAGGAACCACAAUCAUUUAUUUAAACGAUGAUCGAGUAGUUAACUCCUGCAACUGCUUCCAACAUCCUGUCUUGCUGCCAGGGAUCCGGAAAUGGCAAAAUUUGUUGUAAUGACCCUAUGCUCUUUAGUCUAUUUGUAAUGUUGAUAGUAAAAUGCAUCACAGAAAGACAACGGAUUGCAGUUCUCUUGUUGAUAAUUUGUAGCACUGAAAUCUAUGAUUUCUCGUUGCAUAUCGGUUGAAAACACCAUAUUGUUUUGUCUGAUGAGUUGUUAUGUUCAACGUUUUAA